CAUUAGAGCAUUAAGAAGACAUUUCCCUAGUACAAGAAUAUUGGGAAGGACUCACCUUCGGUGUGCCAGUUAUCGUGCCCAGCCACGGUAAACGUUGGGUUGCCAAGUGUGGAGUAGAUAAUUGCUGAAAGCAUCUAAGUAGUAACCCUAAGGUGAGUGCUUUCAUAUUUCAACUUCCCCAAAGCCUCCGGUAGCACAACUGAGAUAGUGAUGGGUUCUCUGGCCCAACAGGGAUGAAGUGAAAUUUUUUAAAGAAUUCAAGAGAAGGUCACAGUGAGAUGAGUUGUUGCUAAUUAAUGAUAGGUGUCAAAUAGAAAUGCAAUGAUGUAUGUAUCUGAGGCAUCCUAACAAACCGU
This 356-nucleotide non-coding RNA is filed under the name Glycine max (soybean). Its description in RNAcentral is "Bacterial large subunit ribosomal RNA". It matches the Rfam family "Bacterial large subunit ribosomal RNA", at positions 2652 to 2912 of the family's 2925-position model. The record is from Rfam by way of RNAcentral. Lineage: Eukaryota; Viridiplantae; Streptophyta; Magnoliopsida; Fabales; Fabaceae.